RNAcentral lists this ribosomal RNA (441 nucleotides) under uncultured bacterium. RNAcentral describes it as "partial 16S ribosomal RNA". It matches the Rfam family "Bacterial small subunit ribosomal RNA", at positions 338 to 795 of the family's 1533-position model. The record is from RNAcentral.
CCUACGGGAGGCAGCAGUGGGGGAUAUUGCACAAUGGGGGGAACCCUGAUGCAGCGACGCCGCGUGGGUGAAGGAGUGCUUCGGCAUGUAAAGCCCUAUCGGCAGGGAAGAAGCAAGACGGUACCUGACUAAGAAGCCCCGGCUAACUACGUGCCAGCAGCCGCGGUAAUACGUAGGGGGCGAGCGUUAUCCGGAUUCACUGGGUGUAAAGGGAGCGUAGACGGCCAAGCAAGUCAGAUGUGAAAACCAUGGGCUCAACCUGUGGCCUGCAUUUGAAACUGGUUUUCUUGAGUACUGGAGAGGCAGACGGAAUUCCUAGUGUAGCGGGGAAAUGCGUAGAUAUUAGGAGGAACACCAGUGGCGAAGGCGGUCUGCUGGACAGCAACUGACGCUGAGGCGCGAAAGCGUGGGGAGCAAACAGGAUUAGAUACCCGUGUAGUC